This 453-nucleotide ribosomal RNA is filed under the name uncultured bacterium. Its description in RNAcentral is "bacterial SSU rRNA". It matches the Rfam family "Bacterial small subunit ribosomal RNA", at positions 29 to 526 of the family's 1533-position model. The record is from RNAcentral.
AACGAACGCUGGCGGCAGGCUUAACACAUGCAAGUCGAACGGGUGUAGCAAUACAUCAGUGGCAGACGGGUGAGUAACACGUGGGAACCUUCCUCGUUGUACGGGACAACUCAGGGAAACUUGAGCUAAUACCGUAUACGUCCGAGAGGAGAAAGAUUUAUCGCAAUGAGACGGGCCCGCGUCGGAUUAGCUAGUUGGUAGGGUAACGGCCUACCAAGGCGACGAUCCGUAGCUGAUCUGAGAGGAUGAUCAGCCACACUGGGACUGAGACACGGCCCAGACUCCUACGGGAGGCAGCAGUGGGGAAUCUUGGACAAUGGGCGCAAGCCUGAUCCAGCCAUGCCGCGUGAGUGAAGAAGGCCUUAGGGUUGUAAAGCUCUUUUGCCAGGGACGAUAAUGACGGUACCUGGAGAAUAAGCCCGGCAAACUUCGUGCCAGCAGCCGCGGUAAUGU